AAGUGCAUCAGAAGCUUGUCAGUCAAGUAGCUUGUUCAUGCAAAGCGACGAUCCAGGGUUGUCAGCCAUGAAAGAGUCUAGGCUGAGUUAAAGAAGGGGAUAUGUCGAUAAGUCGGGUGGUCAAGAGGAUGAGCCAUGUUUGCCAGGUCGUGCAGCCAUGUUCCAAGAGAGUUGAAGUCGUAGACUAUAAACAUUGGGCUUGAUCAUGCUUAGGUCUUGCCAUGGAUGCAAUUAGGGCAUCAAGUUGAGUGUCCACCAAGAAGGUUGGACUUGAGCUUUGCCGAGGGCAUGUGAAGGGGUCCGUCUAAAAAAAGUCGAACUCAAGAUUGGAA
RNAcentral lists this long non-coding RNA (332 nucleotides) under Capsicum annuum. RNAcentral's name for it is "long non-coding RNA (CANN_LNC010369)". The record is from RNAcentral. Lineage: Eukaryota; Viridiplantae; Streptophyta; Magnoliopsida; Solanales; Solanaceae.